UACGAAGGGGGCUAGCGUUGCUCGGAAUCACUGGGCGUAAAGCGCACGUAGGCGGCUUUCUAAGUCAGGGGUGAAAUCCUGGAGCUCAACUCCAGAACUGCCUUUGAUACUGGAGAGCUCGAGUCCGGAAGAGGUGAGUGGAACUCCGAGUGUAGAGGUGAAAUUCGUAGAUAUUCGCAAGAACACCAGUGGCGAAGGCGGCUCACUGGCCCGGUACUGACGCUGAGGUGCGAAAGCGUGGGGAGCAAACAGG
Molecule: ribosomal RNA, 253 nt
Filed under: uncultured bacterium
Lineage: Bacteria
Description: partial 16S ribosomal RNA
Rfam family: Bacterial small subunit ribosomal RNA
Source: RNAcentral